RNAcentral lists this ribosomal RNA (497 nucleotides) under uncultured bacterium. RNAcentral's name for it is "partial 16S ribosomal RNA". It matches the Rfam family "Bacterial small subunit ribosomal RNA", at positions 28 to 507 of the family's 1533-position model. The record is from RNAcentral.
GAUGAACGCUGGCGGCGUGCCUAAUACAUGCAAGUCGAGCGAACAGAUGAGGAGCUUGCUCCUCUGACGUUAGCGGCGGACGGGUGAGUAACACGUGGAUAACCUACCUAUAAGACUGGGAUAACUUCGGGAAACCGGAGCUAAUACCGGAUAAUAUAUUGAACCGCAUGGUUCAAUAGUGAAAGACGGUUUUGCUGUCACUUAUAGAUGGAUCCGCGCCGCAUUAGCUAGUUGGUAAGGUAACGGCUUACCAAGGCAACGAUGCGUAGCCGACCUGAGAGGGUGAUCGGCCACACUGGAACUGAGACACGGUCCAGACUCCUACGGGAGGCAGCAGGAGGGAAUCUUCCGCAAUGGGCGAAAGCCUGACAGAGCAAUGCCGCGUGAGUGAUGAAGGUCUUCGGAUCGUAAAACUCUGUUAUUAGGGAAGAACAAAUGUGUAAGUAACUAUGCACGUCUUGACGGUACCUAAUCAGAAAGCCACGGCUAACUACGUG